GCGAAUUCGCCCUUCCCUACGGGGUGCAGCAGGCGCGAAACCUUUACAAUGCACGCAAGUGUGAUAAGGGAACCCCAAGUGCUUAUGCUUUGCAUAGGCUUUUGCUAAAGGUAAAUACUUUAGCGAAUAAGUGGUGGGUAAGACCGGUGCCAGCCGCCGCGGUAACACCGGCGCCACGAGUGGCAAUCACUUUUAUUGGGCCUAAAGCGUCCGUAGCUGGUUUUGUAAGUCUCUUGUGAAAUCGUCAAGCUUAACUUGACGGCGUGCUUGAGAUACUGCAAGACUUGGAACCGGGAGGAGUCAGAGGUAUUCUGAGGGGAGCGGUAAAAUGCUAUAAUCCUCAGAGGACCACCUGUGGCAAAGGCGUCUGACUAGAACGGGUUCGACAGUGAGGGACGAAAGCUAGGGGAGCGAUCCGGAUUAGAUACCCGAGUAGUCCUAGCCGUAAACUCUGCGAGCUAGGCGUUACAGAUUUUACGUGAAUCUGUAGUGUCGUAGCGAAGGCGUUUAGCUCGCCGCCUGGGAAGUAUGGUCGCAAGGCUGAAACUUAAAGGAAUUGGCGGGGAGGCACUACAACGAGUGGAAUGUGCGGUUUAAUCUAAUUCAACGCAGAGAAUCUCACCAGGGGCGACGCAGGAUGAAAGUCACGCUAACGGUCUUACUUACAGCCGAGAAGUAGUGCAU
RNAcentral lists this ribosomal RNA (684 nucleotides) under uncultured archaeon. RNAcentral's name for it is "bacterial SSU rRNA". It matches the Rfam family "Archaeal small subunit ribosomal RNA", at positions 307 to 995 of the family's 1478-position model. The record is from RNAcentral.